GCCGAUGUGGCUCAGCUGGUAGAGCAGGGCUUUCGUAAAGCCAAGGUCGGGGGUUCAAGUCCCUCCAUCGGCACCA
This 76-nucleotide transfer RNA is filed under the name Rickettsiales bacterium. Its description in RNAcentral is "tRNA-Thr". It matches the Rfam family "tRNA". Rfam says of the family: Transfer RNA (tRNA) molecules are approximately 80 nucleotides in length. Their secondary structure includes four short double-helical elements and three loops (D, anti-codon, and T loops). Lineage: Bacteria; Pseudomonadati; Pseudomonadota; Alphaproteobacteria; Rickettsiales. The record is from RNAcentral.